GAUUGAACGCUGGCGGUAUGCUUAACACAUGCAAGUCGAACGGAAACGAUACUAGCUUGCUAGUAGGCGUCGAGUGGCGGACGGGUGAGUAACGCGUAGGAAUUUGCCUGAUAGUGGGGGAUAGCCCGAAGAAAUUCGGAUUAAUACCGCAUAAUCUAUUCGUAGUAAAGUGGGGGACUUUCGAGCCUCACGCUAUCAGAUGAGCCUGCGUAAGAUUAGCUUGUUGGUAGGGUAAAAGCCUACCAAGGCGACGAUCUUUAGCUGGUCUGAGAGGAUGAUCAGCCACAUCGGGACUGAGACACGGCCCGAACUCCUACGGGAGGCAGCAGUGGGGAAUAUUGGACAAUGGGGGCAACCCUGAUCCAGCAAUACCGCGUGUGUGAAGAAGGCCUGAGGGUUGUAAAGCACUUUCAAUUGUGAAGAAAAGUUAGCGGUUAAUAACCGUUAGCCUUGACGUUAACUUUAGAAGAAGCACCGGCUAACUCCGUGCCAGCAGCCGCGGUAAUACGGAGGGUGCAAGCGUUAAUCGGAAUUACUGGGCGUAAAGCGUGCGUAGCGGUUUAUUAAGUCAGAUGUGGAAAGCCCCGGGCUUAACCUGGGAACUGCAUUUGAAACUGGUCAACUAGAGUAUGGUAGAGGGAAAGUGGGAAUUUCUGGUGUAGCGGUGAAAUGCGUAGAUAUCUGAAAGGAACAUCAAUGGCGAAGGCAGCUUUCUGGACUAAUACUGACACUGAGGUACGAAAGCGUGGGUAGCAAACAGGAUUAGAUACCCUGGUAGUCCACGCCGUAAACGAUGACAACUAGCCGUUGGGAGGGAUUACCUCUUAGUGGCGAAGCUAACGCGUUAAGUUGUCCGCCUGGGGAGUACGGCCGCAAGGUUAAAACUCAAAGGAAUUGACGGGGACCCGCACAAGCGGUGGAGCAUGUGGUUUAAUUCGAUGCAACGCGAAGAACCUUACCUGGUCUUGACAUACACGGAACUUUCCAGAGAUGGAUUGGUGCCUUCGGGAACCGUGAUACAGGUGCUGCAUGGCUGUCGUCAGCUCGUGUCGUGAGAUGUUGGGUUAAGUCCCGUAACGAGCGCAACCCUUAUCCUUAUUUGCCAGCACAUCAUGGUGGGAACUAUAAGGAGACUGCCGGUGAUAAACCGGAGGAAGGCGGGGACGACGUCAAGUCAUCAUGGCCCUUACGACCAGGGCUACACACGUGCUACAAUGGGAAGGACAAAGGGUUGCUAAGCCGCGAGGUGGUGCUAAUCUCAUAAACCUUUUCGUAGUCCGGAUCGGAGUCUGCAACUCGACUCCGUGAAGUCGGAAUCGCUAGUAAUCGUGGAUCAGAACGCCACGGUGAAUACGUUCCCGGGUCUUGUACACACCGCCC
This 1380-nucleotide ribosomal RNA is filed under the name uncultured Gammaproteobacteria bacterium. Its description in RNAcentral is "bacterial SSU rRNA". It matches the Rfam family "Bacterial small subunit ribosomal RNA", at positions 27 to 1395 of the family's 1533-position model. Lineage: Bacteria; Pseudomonadati; Pseudomonadota; Gammaproteobacteria. The record is from RNAcentral.